Molecule: ribosomal RNA, 460 nt
Filed under: uncultured bacterium
Lineage: Bacteria
Description: partial 16S ribosomal RNA
Rfam family: Bacterial small subunit ribosomal RNA
Source: RNAcentral
CCUACGGGAGGCUGCAGUGAGGAAUAUUGGUCAAUGGACGAGAGUCUGAACCAGCCAAGUAGCGUGAAGGAUGACUGCCCUAUGGGUUGUAAACUUCUUUUAUAUGGGAAUAAAAUGUUCCACGUGUGGGAUUUUGUAUGUACCAUAUGAAUAAGGUUCGGCUAACUACGUGCAUGCAGCCGCGGUAAUACGGAGGAUCCGAGCGUUAUCCGGAUUUGUUGGGUUUAAAGGGAGCGUAGGUGGAUUGUUAAGUCAGUUGUGAAAGUUUGCGGCUCAACCGUAAAAUUGCAGUUGAAACUGGCAGUCUUGAGUACAGUAGAGGUGGGCGGAAUUCGUGGUGUAGCGGUGAAAUGCUUAGAUAUCACGAAGAACUCCGAUUGCGAAGGCAGCUCACUGGACUGCAACUGACACUGAGGCUCGAAAGUGUGGGUAUCAAACAGGAUUAGAUACCCCAGUAGUC